CACAGCGGUGUCUGAGUGACGCUCCGCCCGCCCGUUUGUCCUUUAAAGCACGGAAUAGAGAGAAGAGUUGCUCAUAAUCCUGUUGCUGCUGGGAUUGUGCGAGGAGCUAGCACGUCUGGCAGGCCACUGUCGCAGGCGUACGCUGACUUCCCGGGAUUCAUUCUGCACUCUUCAUCUGUGGAGGCUCCCUUUGGUCUACAGAGUGAGUGUACCAGAAAACUGGGUUUUGUUUUUUUUUCCUCUUUCUAUAUUUCUCACUUCC
This 262-nucleotide long non-coding RNA is filed under the name Struthio camelus australis. RNAcentral's name for it is "lncRNA (ENSSCUG00000006294.1)". The record is from RNAcentral. Lineage: Eukaryota; Metazoa; Chordata; Aves; Struthioniformes; Struthionidae.